This is a non-coding RNA of Schizosaccharomyces pombe (fission yeast), 227 nucleotides long. The record is from the annotation of a GenBank genome assembly. Lineage: Eukaryota; Fungi; Ascomycota; Schizosaccharomycetes; Schizosaccharomycetales; Schizosaccharomycetaceae.
AUUUCCUACCUUUCUCCAGGUUUGAUAUGACUUGGGGAAGCGACGCGUCGACUCUUCCAUCCACUCCUGUAUCCAUUGUAAAAACAGCGGAUUUCCACAAUCCAUGGAUCCGAAAAACAAAGAAAAAAACUAUUUCAUUCAAAUUAUCGAUUGUCACACGAAACAAAAGUCUAAACAAAUGGAUGUGGAUAGAAUGCGAUUUCCUAAAUUUCGUGUAAAGACAUUAG